UUUCUAAUGUAUAUUUUUCAUAGAACCCAGCAUUUCUCGUUGUUCAUUGAUUUUUCUGCCAACACUUGUUAGUUGUUCUUCUUCCCUUUUAGGAAGUUCUUUGAUAUAAUCUAUUUUGUUUUCCAAUUUUUCUAAUUGGUAGAUUAUAUCUGAAAAUUUUUCUAGAUGAUCUUGACAUCUAGAUAUUUCUUGUACCAGGUUCUGAUAUUUCUCAUCAGAAGAUUUUAGUAGAGAAUUUAACUUCUCUAAUAUUAAUUCAGACAUUGUCCCCAUUGAGGAUUCCCCUUUUGAGCUUUUUUUACAAGCUCUGAUACCAGUGAUUUGCGGAUCUA
This 332-nucleotide long non-coding RNA is filed under the name Rosa chinensis. RNAcentral's name for it is "sRNA RchiOBHm_Chr6g0274081". Lineage: Eukaryota; Viridiplantae; Streptophyta; Magnoliopsida; Rosales; Rosaceae. The record is from RNAcentral.